Molecule: long non-coding RNA, 1811 nt
Organism: Serinus canaria (Common canary)
Lineage: Eukaryota; Metazoa; Chordata; Aves; Passeriformes; Fringillidae
Source: Ensembl
CGCCGCUCUCGCCGAUCCCUCCGCUCCCUCCAAGAAGCAACGCUGCUAUACCCGGCCUUGCCCUUAACAAACAUGGCGGCGGCGCGCCCUGCCCGCCCUUCCCAUGGUGGGGGCGGUGGUGACGGCGCGCGGUGAUGACGCACAAAGCGCGCGACGGCCGGGGCGGCGGGGCCCGGUAGGAGCGGGGCCGGUUCGGGGCCCGGUGGGGCUGAGGGAGCGGGACGGGCCCGGGCCGGGAGCGAGGGGAAGGAACGGCCCUGGGAGCACCGGGGGAGGCCGGGGGGUGGCGGGGAGGAGAGGCCUGGAGCGGCGGGCCAGGCCCGGGAGUCUCUUUUUGCCGCCCCUCCGGUGAGGCCCUGCCCCGGUGCCGCUCCCGGGCAGGCUCGGAGAGCGGGAGAAGGGAAUUUAGGCAAGGUGAAAAUGCAAGAAAAAAGGAUUUUAGGAUAGUUCCGAGGAUGUUCCAGGCAGGAGAAAGGAUUGAGUCCAUCCCAGGCCUUGAGUCCAUUCCCAAAGCUCGCGAAUGGAGCAGUGGUUUAUUUUCAAUUUAAUUGAAUUCAUCAUGAUCUGCCAUUAAAAUCAAAGGUUCCGGCCCAGAGCUCCCAAAGCUGCGAUUUCCCCCGUGUCUGGUUGAUUCCAGAGCUCCUGUUCCCCUUGGAUUUGGCUUUUCCCAGCGUGGAUAACAAUCCCAGGCCCUUUUUUGGGUUGAUAAAUCCAAAUUCAAGGAGUUUCCCCCCCUCCCUCUGGAUCCCCCUGGAUCAGGACAGAGGUGCCUCAAUCCCGGUUUUUCCUGGCUCGGGGUUUUUUUUUUGGACUUCAGGUGCUUUUUCCAUGGGUUGGGAGCAGAUCUGGGAUCGGCCAGGAUCUGGGGGAAAUCUGGGAAAUUUAUCCCAGGUUUAUCCUGGUGUGAGGGUGGGGUGAAUCAGGGGAGAUGAUCCCAGGCUUUUCCUCAGGUUGGGGGGGCCUUUCCCUCCUCCAAAUCCACAAAAUCGGGGAAGGGAAUGGAGAAUUCCUGGGAAAGGAAUGGAGAAUUCCCAGGGGAAACUGGGAAGGGGCUGGAGGAUUCCUGGGAAGAGAAUGGGGAAUUUUUGAGGGUUUGAGGGAUGCCCAAGAAAUUCCAGGGGGAGAACAGCAAGUCGGCGGCGGCGCGCGCCCGCAGGGCCGAGGCCAAGGCGGCGGCGGAGGCGCGGCGGCAGCAGGAGCUGGAGGAUGAGCUCUGGAAGGACGAGGACAAACACGUCCUGAGGAAGGAGCAGAGGAAGGUGGGGAUCCCCAAAAUCCUGGGACUAGGGAGAGGGGAGAGUCUGGGAUGAGGAAAAGGUUUGGGCAAGGGAGGAGGAGCACUGGGAAUGGCAGAGGAGGGAGAGCUCAGAGAGACGGAGGAGAGGAGGAACAACCCUGGGAAUGAGAGGAAAAACAGCUCUGAGAAUGAGGAACAGGAGGGAAAACUCUGGGAAUGAGGGAGAGGAGGAGGAGGAAGGGUGGGAAUGGCGGAGGUGCAGCAGGAGCUGGAGGAUGAGCUCUGGAAGGAUGAGGACAAACAACUCUGGGAAUGAGUGGGAAAACAAUCCUGGGAAUGAGGGAGAGGAGGAUAAAGUGUGGGAAUGAGAGGAAGGACAUUGAUCCAUGAAUGGAUCCAUCCAUGAAUCCAACCGUGGAUCUCUCCAUGAAGCAAUCCAUGGAUCCAUCCAUCAAUCAAUCCAUGGAUCUGUCAAUCAGUGGAUCCCUCCAUCAAUCAAUCCAUGGAUCCCUCCAUGGAUCCCUCCAUGGAUCCGUCCACAAAUCCGUGGGUCCAUGCAGAAACUCAUGGAUCC